GCGCGGCUGGUGAAAUGGCAAACACGAAGGAUUUAGGUUCCUUUGCCGUAAGGCUUGCGGGUUCGAGUCCCGCGCCGCGCACCA
This 84-nucleotide transfer RNA is filed under the name Lentisphaeria bacterium. RNAcentral's name for it is "tRNA-Leu". It matches the Rfam family "tRNA". From Rfam's summary of the family: Transfer RNA (tRNA) molecules are approximately 80 nucleotides in length. Their secondary structure includes four short double-helical elements and three loops (D, anti-codon, and T loops). The record is from RNAcentral. Lineage: Bacteria; Pseudomonadati; Lentisphaerota; Lentisphaeria.